GAAGCAACAAGUGUUUGCAACAUCAAGCUGACAAGAAACUCUGCGGCAGAUAAAGUUUCUGAUCUUUCUGGAGCGGUAUACUGGUCUGGCCCACUUGGGAUAAAAUUAGGGAUAUG
Long non-coding RNA from Etheostoma spectabile (orangethroat darter), 116 nucleotides. RefSeq lists it as uncharacterized. The transcript has 3 exons. The record is from RefSeq and is a predicted model, not a curated record. Lineage: Eukaryota; Metazoa; Chordata; Actinopteri; Perciformes; Percidae.